GACAGAGGAUGCAAGCGUUAUCCGGAAUGAUUGGGCGUAAAGCGUCCGCAGGUGGCUGUGUAAGUCUGCUGUUAAAGAGUGAGGCUCAACCUCAUAAAGGCAGUGGAAACUACAUGGCUAGAGUGCGUUCGGGGCAGAGGGAAUUCCUGGUGUAGCGGUGAAAUGCGUAGAGAUCAGGAAGAACACCGGUGGCGAAAGCAGCUCUCUGGGACGGUACUGACGCUGAGACGCGAAAGCGUGGGGAGCGAACAGG
Molecule: ribosomal RNA, 253 nt
Filed under: uncultured bacterium
Lineage: Bacteria
Description: partial 16S ribosomal RNA
Rfam family: Bacterial small subunit ribosomal RNA
Source: RNAcentral